Long non-coding RNA from Leopardus geoffroyi (Geoffroy's cat), 1617 nucleotides. RefSeq lists it as uncharacterized. The transcript has 2 exons. NCBI's taxonomy places the organism in Eukaryota, Metazoa, Chordata, Mammalia, Carnivora, Felidae. The record is from RefSeq and is a predicted model, not a curated record.
CCUACCUCGGGUCCCCUGGCCACUCACUCUCCUGCAUUAGGAAGGGUGUAAAUGGUGAAUGUGCCCCCGAAAAGAGGGUCCCGCUAUUAAAACACAAAAACGGUCUCUGAGAACAAGGGUAUCCGCUGUCUUAGGAGAGUUAAGGUCUCUUCUUUCAGGGAGUAAGAUGUCGUUUCACUGCAGACCCCACCGUACGUGCCUCGGGCUGUCGUGAAAUGUCUGUUUCGGGCUUGUUUCUGACUCACGAGGCCUCAACUUUGUGCGCCUCGACCUGCCUGCAGGAUGUCAGCUAGCGGAACACGGAAUACAAAAACGGCAACGGCAAGGACUCUUCAAAGACCCAGGGCGAGCUCGCGUAGCAACGGGGCCCGGAACCCACUACACGAACUGCCUCCAGCAUGCUGCUGCCCGGGCCCCCCCCCCCCCCCCCCCCCAGCAGGGUCCGGGAGCCUUUCGGGCCAGCCUGUGGCGCUCCUCGCCUGUGCGUGUAGGCGUGGAGGGCUUCUGGAGGAGGAGCCUCGUGGCUCUUUGGCAGUCGACUAUUUUCCUGACCGAGCCCGUGGAUGCUUCGGUAGCCGUGACAUAGACCAAAGCCACCGGUGUCUGUCCAGAGGGGACGAAGGGCGCCUGCUGGCUCUCCCACGUGAAACGCGUGUGGACGGCGGUGGAGUCUGGCCCCGCCCUGUCUGUGGACAAAGCAGCACGCCCGUGACUUUAAGGGAUCUUAAUUGGAUCUGGGGCCAAGGGAGAACUUGCCCUUGGCUCUGUCCAGGCUCAGCCGCAGAACAAGGCUCGAGAGCCCCAAGGUAUAGGCUGAAUGUCAUCUGAUCGGAGCUGCCGGAAAGAUCUUUUGGUUUUUUUCCAUUUUCUCUUUGGAUAUAGUCAAACGGCCUAUUGGGAAGAAUCAUGGGGACGUUUCUACAACUGUCUAACGCGGAGAGGCUGCGUGCGGGGGUCUCCCGGACCGCGGGAAGGGGAGUACAGACGUGUGAGCGGCUUCACUCCUGCCGCGAGCCUGAGGUGCCGCAUCUGGGAACCACGAAGACGGGGUCCUUACAGAGGUGAUUAAUCCACAGGGCGUCAAGGCAGGUACUACACCAGCGUGGCCGUGCCCCUACAGAAAGAAGAGAUGCAGACAGGCACACUCACGGGGAGAGUGCCAGGUGGAGGCAGGGAUGGGGUGACGCUUCGAUAAGCCAAGGAAGGCCAGAGACACUGACAAACACCAGAGGCCUGGCGAGAGCAUCCUGGCCCACAGGAGCCACCAGCCCUGCCCACGCCUCGACCUCGGGCUUCUGGCCUCCAGAGCUGGGGGGACUGUCCAUUGCUAAGCACAAGGCUGUGUGGAUCGCAGGAGGCCAGCCCGCCCCGCAGGGCACAGCGUCUGGUUCUCGAGAAGCGUGGGUUUGCACCAGAUUCCGAGGGAAACCUGAGCGCGGGGAGAGGCAAGAGGUAGGUGUUCAGAUUCCCUCAAAAGGGAAUCGGCACGCUGUCAAGCAACCCCUUUAACUCGUUUCAACGAAAUCGCACUUGAAAUAACUAAAAUUCGAAUUCCUGCCAUAUCACGAUGGCAUAUCAAGGACCCCCAACCUGUGAAUAAAACUGGAAAAGCAGAAA